Molecule: microRNA precursor, 65 nt
Filed under: Medicago truncatula (barrel medic)
Lineage: Eukaryota; Viridiplantae; Streptophyta; Magnoliopsida; Fabales; Fabaceae
Description: MIR5291 microRNA precursor family
Rfam family: MIR5291 microRNA precursor family
Source: Rfam by way of RNAcentral
GAUGGAUUCAAACCAAUUCAUUAACAAUUUUUUUUGUUUGAUGGAUGGAUUGGGUGGAUUUUGUA